CAGAUGCUGAGAUCCCUAAUUGUCUUCCCUUCUCUGCUUUAGUGGUUCUCACUCUUCGAGCAGGCUUCACUGAAGCUGCUUCCAAUGCCUCACUGAGUCACUGUCACACCGUCACACGGGUCGAGGGCUCGUCGUCGAGCCACCGUAGAGCCGUCGAGAACUGAGAAGUGAGAACGCCUCACUCUCACACGGGUCGAGCCACCGCAGUCGAACCACCGCAGCAGCCGUCGAGAACUGAGAAGGUGCCUUCGCUGUCUCCCACCGCCUCACCCUCACUCUCCCUAUUGCAUGUUCUGCCUUGAAGAACUGUAUAGUGUGAAACUGUGAACUGAUUCAAGAUUCAACUGAUUGGAGGGAGCUAAAUUGUACUGUGAUUAUUGAGUAGUGAGUGAUUACUGAAACUGAACUGUGAUUCAACAUGAUGAUUGAUGAACACCGAAACUGUAAACUGUGUAGUGGUUGCUGGGAGGAAUGGGAAUAAGAGUAGCUAUUCAGAAGACUGGCUUGUAAUAAUGAUUUGCUAAACUGUGUGACUUUUUUGUGUUAGUCUAGCUACAUUGAGAAGCAUUAUGUUGUACUAUAAAUUUUUGGAUUGGUUUCAACUUUCAAGUUUUCUCCAAUAAGAUUUACUUGAGUGAAUUACAUGAUGUUACAUAUUCUGAUGUCAAUUUUAGCAGUAUUUGAUGGCUGUAAUAGUCUAGGAUUGUAAAGCACCACUUUGAUAUUAAUUUUUAUCUUAAUCACUCCUGUUCAGGCUUC
Arachis stenosperma is the source of this 759-nucleotide long non-coding RNA. RefSeq lists it as uncharacterized. The transcript has 2 exons. NCBI's taxonomy places the organism in Eukaryota, Viridiplantae, Streptophyta, Magnoliopsida, Fabales, Fabaceae. The record is from RefSeq and is a predicted model, not a curated record.